Molecule: long non-coding RNA, 298 nt
Filed under: Lathyrus oleraceus (garden pea)
Lineage: Eukaryota; Viridiplantae; Streptophyta; Magnoliopsida; Fabales; Fabaceae
Description: Pisum sativum (pea) long non-coding RNA (PSAT_LNC003962)
Source: RNAcentral
UAAAUUUCGCAGCAUUAAAGUUGAAUCGAUAAAUUCUACAACAUUGAAGUUGAACCGAUAAUUAAAAAAUAAUUAGUAAAUAAAAUUAAUAUUUAUACAACAAAUAAAAUUAGUAAAUAUUUUAAAUUUUGCAGCAUUGAAUCAUCAACUGAGUUAUUGAUAUAUGUCAUGUGAUAACACAGGAUUGAGAACCCAACCUUCAUCAACAAAAAAAAGUUGAUAACUUAAUCUUUUGAAUUGGAACCUAUGAAAUGGAAAACACUCCUAAGAGAUAGACAUAAAAUAAUCAUUCACCAAA